CUCUUUUUGAAUAUAAUUUAAAGUAGGGCCUGCCCACUGAUUUUUUGAAGGGCCGCAGUAUCUUAACUGUGCAAAGGUAGCAUAAUCAUUAGUUUUUUAAUUGAAAGCUGGAAUGAAUGGUUUGAUGAAAAAAUUUCUGUUUCAAUAUUAAUUUUUUAAAAUUUUAUUUUUAAGUUAAAAAGCUUAAAUUUAUAUAAAAGACGAGAAGACCCUAUAGAGUUUUAUUAAUAAAUAGUUUUUUAAAUAUAGAAUUUAUUUUUAAAAAAUUUACUAUUAAUUUGAUUGGGGUGAUUAAAAAAUUAAAUUAACUUUUUUUUUAUUAAUACAUUAAUUUAUGAAUUAUUGAUCCAUAAAAAUGAUUAAAAGAAUAAAUUACCUUAGGGAUAACAGCGUUAUUUUUUUUAAGAGUUCUUAUUUAAAAAAAAGUUUGCGACCUCGAUGUUGGAUUAAAAUUAAUUUUUGGUGUAGAAGCUAAAAAAUUAGGUCUGUUCGACCUUUAAAAUUUUACA
RNAcentral lists this ribosomal RNA (509 nucleotides) under Scymnus kawamurai. RNAcentral's name for it is "partial large subunit ribosomal RNA". The stretch from base 383 to 509 matches the Rfam family "Archaeal large subunit ribosomal RNA", at positions 2542 to 2669 of the family's 2987-position model. Lineage: Eukaryota; Metazoa; Arthropoda; Insecta; Coleoptera; Coccinellidae. The record is from RNAcentral.